Molecule: long non-coding RNA, 975 nt
Organism: Vombatus ursinus (common wombat)
Lineage: Eukaryota; Metazoa; Chordata; Mammalia; Diprotodontia; Vombatidae
Exons: 4
Source: RefSeq, a predicted model, not a curated record
AAUACCCAUAGGUAGUUUAUCCCCAACAAUUCCAUCGAACUUUGUGAUCACAACCUAAAAAUCUACUGCUUUGUUUUUUGGACAGGAUGAACAAGGAGAACAGGUACUCUGAUGAGCAAAGCUUCAUAAUGGAGCUCACCUUCCAGCAGUCCUAAAUAUGCAGAGUUCCUGGUGAAGGGCCUUGGGUGUUGAUUCCAGGAGGCUAAUAAUGAGGAGUGAGGGAAGGGGGCCAGGGCCACGAGGGUUAUCUCACAGUCCCAGAUGCUGGAUAAGUUGGAGGAGGCAGAAUCACUUUUGGAUGACAUUCAGAAAGUCCUGAAUGCUUAUUGGGAGAAGAAAAGACUCUCCUUUCCAAGGUGUGGCAUCUCUUCCCUUGCCCGUCCAGUGAUGAUCACAGACAGUCUGCCAGCAUCUCGUGAGACAAAGGAUUCGCUCCUGAGCCCCACCACACCUAAAAAAAAUGCUUUGAAGGGCUUGCCAAGCUCACUUUUAAUCAUGGGAAAGAAAUUACCCACAUGGAGUCAGCAGAAAAUGAAAAAGUGGGCCUCGUGCUGAGAUAAUUCCAGCAAGUGCCAAGGGGCUAGUUGAGAUAUGGCUUCAUGAGGUGAAUAUCUUUAGCUCUUACUUAGGGUUUAGUUACUGUAUAAUCAUUCUCUCUUUUAGGAGCAAUGAAUAUCCCAAGUGUGUUUCCUAACCAAAGCUCUGUCUCUCUCCAAGCAUUUCUCGGGAUAGUGACGGAUUCCAUAGGAAAUGGGGGCUCUGGGGCCCUGUUGUGGUUUUCUUCUACUCAGGACAAGUUUGCAAAUAAGCAGAAUCUCAUUGAGCGACAACCCCAAGCCAGUGACUGCCACUAGCUGUGUGUAUUUGUCUAUCUGUUUGAGUAUUUGUCUAGUACUUUAUGUCUCCAUGUGUAUAUAUGUAUCUUUGUUCAUGUCCUCGUCCCCUCCUUAGGGGAAUAUGUUAGGAGGAUUGGAU